CCUACGGGUGGCAGCAGUGAGGAAUAUUGGUCAAUGGGCGCGAGCCUGAACCAGCCAAGUAGCGUGAAGGAUGACUGCCCUACGGGUUGUAAACUUCUUUUAUAAAGGAAUAAAGUGAGGCACGUGUGCCUUUUUGUCUGUACUUUAUGAAUAAGGAACGGCUAACUCCGUGCAAGCAGCCGCGGUAAUACGGAGGAUCAGAGCGUUAUCCGGAUUUAUUGGGUUUAAAGGGAGCGUAGAUGGGUUGUAAAGUCAGUUGGGAAAGUUUGCGGCUCAACCGUAAAAUUGCAAUUGAUAAUGGCAGUCUUGAUAACAGUGGAGGUAGGCGGAAUUCGUGGUGUAGCGGUGAAAUGCUUAGAUAUCAC
This 365-nucleotide ribosomal RNA is filed under the name uncultured bacterium. RNAcentral describes it as "partial 16S ribosomal RNA". It matches the Rfam family "Bacterial small subunit ribosomal RNA", at positions 338 to 700 of the family's 1533-position model. The record is from RNAcentral.